CCAGAAUGCUGCAUUUCUAACACUCUCCCAGAUGGUGCCAAUGUUCCUCAUCCACAGACCACAGCUGAAGUAGCAACUAUGUAAACCUCAGGCUACUCAUCACAGUGCAGAGUGAUUUCACCUAAAGGCACAACAGCAGCUGAUUGCCACAAUACAAACAAGAGCCGCCACUUACUGACAGCAGCUACGUGCCAGGUAAGUCAAAUGAGGAAGAACACCUUCAGUGUGGGGGAGAAAUGGGUCUUCAACGUCAUCUUAGACCAGUGGCUCUCAAAGUAUAUAACAGCAGCGUCAACAUCAGCAUUAUCUGGGAACGUGUUGGAGAUGUGAAUUCUUGGGUUCCACUUCAGACAACGAAUCAGAAAUUCUGGGAUCGCCCUUGGAAAAAUUGUACUGGUACCUGCUUAUGAGGCUCCCAGUGGUACAGGUGAGCAAGAAAAUCACUUCCUGUUUGGCACAAUGAGCGGUAAAAAAUGAAUUCAGCAAGUCCAGGUUGUCCAUAUGCUGAAGACUCUAUAGAAAGAUGUGACCCUUUUCCUAGCUCCUGAGAGAUAACCCUUGUGCCAUGGAGUGAAUGUUUGCAUCUCACAAAAUUCAUAUGUUGAAACCCUGAUCUCAUUAUGGUGGUAUUUGAAGAGAUGGCCUUUGGGAGAUAAUUAGGUCAUGAGGGUGGAGCCCUUAUGAUGAGAUUAGUGCCUUUAUAAGAAGAAACAUUGUUGAGAGAUUCCUUCCUUUCUCUUUGCUCUCUGCAAUGUGAUGAAACACAAAGAAGACAGCUGUCUGCUCACCAAGAAGAGGACCCUCAUCAGACACUGGAUCUACUGGCAUCUUGAUCUUGGAUUUUCUAGCCUCUUUAACUGUGAGAAAUAAAAUGUUUAAG
This 880-nucleotide long non-coding RNA is filed under the name Homo sapiens (human). RNAcentral describes it as "HSALNT0063275". Lineage: Eukaryota; Metazoa; Chordata; Mammalia; Primates; Hominidae. The record is from RNAcentral.